GCAUGGCUUAGGAUUUAUGGGUGGUAUCUAUUCUGUGAUCCGCUCAUAGUAUACUUCAUGCUAAAUCAAAUACUGUCCAAACCAUUGAUGGGCCUCCAUAGGUCUCAUUCACUGAAAUGGGCAGAACAGUC
Molecule: small nucleolar RNA, 131 nt
Filed under: Callorhinchus milii (elephant shark)
Lineage: Eukaryota; Metazoa; Chordata; Chondrichthyes; Chimaeriformes; Callorhinchidae
Description: Small nucleolar RNA SNORA42/SNORA80 family (ENSCMIG00000018229.1)
Source: RNAcentral